RNAcentral lists this ribosomal RNA (253 nucleotides) under uncultured bacterium. RNAcentral's name for it is "partial 16S ribosomal RNA". It matches the Rfam family "Bacterial small subunit ribosomal RNA", at positions 524 to 776 of the family's 1533-position model. The record is from RNAcentral.
UACGUAGGGGGCUAGCGUUGUCCGGAAUCAUUGGGCGUAAAGCGCGUGUAGGCGGCCCGGUAAGUCCGCUGUGAAAGUCGGGGGCUCAACCCUCGAAAGCCGGUGGAUACUGUCGGGCUCGAGUGCGGAAGAGGCGAGUGGAAUUCCUGGUGUAGCGGCGAAAUGCGCAGAUAUCAGGAGGAACACCGAUUGCGAAGGCAGCUCGCUGGGACGUUACUGACGCUGAGACGCGAAAGCGUGGGGAGCAAACAGG